UACGGAGGGUGCGAGCGUUGUCCGGAAUCAUUGGGCGUAAAGGGCGCGUAGGUGGCCCGGUCAGUUCGUGGUGAAAGCGCGGGGCUCAACCCUGCGUCGGCCACGAAUACUGCCGCGGCUGGAGCACUGUAGAGGCAGGCGGAAUUCCGGGUGUAGCGGUGGAAUGCGUAGAGAUCCGGAAGAACCCCAGAGGCGAAGGCGGCGUCCUGGCUCGCAUCUGACGCUCAGACACGACAGCAUGGGGAGCGAACGGG
This 254-nucleotide ribosomal RNA is filed under the name uncultured bacterium. RNAcentral describes it as "partial 16S ribosomal RNA". It matches the Rfam family "Bacterial small subunit ribosomal RNA", at positions 524 to 776 of the family's 1533-position model. The record is from RNAcentral.